Molecule: long non-coding RNA, 192 nt
Filed under: Calidris pugnax (ruff)
Lineage: Eukaryota; Metazoa; Chordata; Aves; Charadriiformes; Scolopacidae
Description: lncRNA (ENSCPUG00000018475.1)
Source: RNAcentral
UUUGCAAAGAAAAAAAGUAAGAAAACUGGAGACAGACUCACGUCCUUUCCCACCAGAGAAAUGAGCCCUCGCUGUUGCUGGAAGUGCUAACUAUGGUGUCAUGCAGUGGAAGAGUUGGGGAAUCUCCCAAUAACUCGGUCUCUGAUAAAAGAGACUAACAUCCUGCAGUCAGAACAUCCUCCAGCUCACCUG